UACGUAGGGGCCUAGCGUUGUCCGGAUUUAUUGGGCGUAAAGAGCUCGUAGGCGGUUCGGCAAGUCGGAUGUGAAAUCUCCACGCUCAACGUGGAGACGCCACCCGAUACUGCUGUGGCUAGAGUCCGGUAGGGGAGCGUGGAAUUCCUGGUGUAGCGGUGAAAUGCGCAGAUAUCAGGAGGAACACCAGCGGCGAAGGCGGCGCUCUGGGCCGGAACUGACGCUGAGGAGCGAAAGCGUGGGUAGCAAACAGG
This 254-nucleotide ribosomal RNA is filed under the name uncultured bacterium. Its description in RNAcentral is "partial 16S ribosomal RNA". It matches the Rfam family "Bacterial small subunit ribosomal RNA", at positions 524 to 776 of the family's 1533-position model. The record is from RNAcentral.